Molecule: transfer RNA, 74 nt
Organism: Monoraphidium neglectum
Lineage: Eukaryota; Viridiplantae; Chlorophyta; Chlorophyceae; Sphaeropleales; Selenastraceae
Rfam family: tRNA
About the family: Transfer RNA (tRNA) molecules are approximately 80 nucleotides in length.
Source: Rfam
GGGCUUGUAGCUCAAUUGGUUAGAGCGUAGGAUCGAUAAUCCUAAGGUUGUAGGUUCAAGCCCUGCCGUGCCCA